RNAcentral lists this ribosomal RNA (468 nucleotides) under uncultured bacterium. RNAcentral's name for it is "partial 16S ribosomal RNA". It matches the Rfam family "Bacterial small subunit ribosomal RNA", at positions 28 to 507 of the family's 1533-position model. The record is from RNAcentral.
GACGAACGCUGGCGGCGUGCUUAACACAUGCAAGUCGAACGGAAAGGCCCUGCCUUUGUUGGGUGCUCGAGUGGCGAACGGGAGAGUAACAUGUGAGUAACCUGCCCUUGACUCUGGGACAACUUAAGGAAACUGGGGCUAAUCCCGGAUAGGAGCUCCUGCUGCUUGGUGGGGGUUGGAAAGUUGCGGCGGUUGGGGAUGGACGUGAGGCUGGUCAGCCUGUUGGGGGGGUGGUGGCUUUCAAAGGCUUUGACGGGUAGCCGGCCUGAGAGGGUGUCCGGCAACGUUGGGACUGAGAUGCGGCCCAGACGCCUAGGGGAGGCAGCAGUGGGGAAAAUUGCGCAACGGGGGGAAGGCGGAUGCGGCAACGGCGCGUGCGGGGUGACGGCCUUCGGGUAGUGAACCGCUUUCGCCUGUGACGAGGCGGGGGUGACGGUAGUGGGUAAAGAAGCGCCGGCUAACUACGUG